Molecule: ribosomal RNA, 447 nt
Filed under: Triticum aestivum (bread wheat)
Lineage: Eukaryota; Viridiplantae; Streptophyta; Magnoliopsida; Poales; Poaceae
Description: partial small subunit ribosomal RNA
Source: RNAcentral
AUGGCGGCGGGGGCGUGGGCCGCGCUCAGGUCGGUCGUGAAGCCCUGCAUCGCCGCCUCCCUCAUAGGCCUCACCGUCUCCGACCGCUACUUCUCGGUCGCCGCCGUCCGAGGCGCCUCCAUGCACCCUACCUUCGAGGGCAGGACAGGUGAAUACGCGCUGGUGACGCCGGUGGACCACCAGAGGAAGGCGAUCAAGAGGGUGAUUGGGCUGCCCGGCGACUGGAUCAGCGUCCCGGAGACGAAGGAGAUCCGGAAGAUACCGGAGGGCCACUGCUGGGUCGAAGGGGACAAUGGCAGCGUCAGCCGGGACUCGAGAACCUACGGCCCUGUGCCGCUUGGUCUGGUGCAGGGGAGGGUGACGCAUGUGGUGUGGCCGCCCCGUAAGAUAGGCCGUGUCGACAAAAGGGUACCGGAAGGAAGGGUCAUGCCGCAGCGGAAUCUCUAG